This 433-nucleotide ribosomal RNA is filed under the name uncultured bacterium. Its description in RNAcentral is "partial 16S ribosomal RNA". It matches the Rfam family "Bacterial small subunit ribosomal RNA", at positions 29 to 507 of the family's 1533-position model. The record is from RNAcentral.
AACGAACGCUGGCGGCAGGCCUAACACAUGCAAGUCGAGCGCGCCCUUCGGGGUGAGCGGCGGACGGGUGAGUAACGCGUGGGAACGUGCCCUUUUCUACGGAAUAGCCUCGGGAAACUGAGAGUAAUACCGUAUACGCCCUUUGGGGGAAAGAUUUAUCGGAAAAGGAUCGGCCCGCGUUGGAUUAGGUAGUUGGUGGGGUAAUGGCCUACCAAGCCGACGAUCCAUAGCUGGUUUGAGAGGAUGAUCAGCCACACUGGGACUGAGACACGGCCCAGACUCCUACGGGAGGCAGCAGUGGGGAAUCUUAGACAAUGGGGGCAAACCUGAUCAAGCCAUGCCGCGUGAGUGAUGAAGGCCUUAGGGUUGUAAAGCCCUUUCAGCUGGGAAGAUAAUGACGGUACCAGCAGAAGAAGCCCCGGCUAACUCCGUG